This 1128-nucleotide ribosomal RNA is filed under the name Triticum aestivum (bread wheat). Its description in RNAcentral is "partial small subunit ribosomal RNA". The record is from RNAcentral. Lineage: Eukaryota; Viridiplantae; Streptophyta; Magnoliopsida; Poales; Poaceae.
AUGGCCACCUGCCUCUCUGAUAUCAUUAGUGACCAUUCCAUUGACUUUAUAGGAUUACAUGAAACCUUGAAAAAAGAUUUCUCCCCCAAACUUCUUAGAAGGCUCGAUCCUUUUAGUUCUUUUCAUUGGGAAUGGAUCCCUGCUAUUGGUAAAUCUGGGGGCAUUCUGUGUGGUAUUCGCAGCAGCAACCUGGAGUUGCUGAAAUGCAUCAAAGGGAGUUAUGUGUUACAAUUAAAUGUUAAAGACCUUAGAAUCAAGAAUAUUUGGAGCCUUCUGGUGGUCUAUGGAUCUGCUCAUGAGGAGCAUAGAGAGGAUUUCCUGAUGGAGCUGGCUUCCUUUUGCCAUAAUACUGAUAUUCCUUAUAUUGUUGGGGGCGACUUUAACAUUCUGAGACACACUGGUGAGAAGAAUAAAAAGUUGAAUAAAUCCAAAUCAACUGACGUUUUCAACUCUAUCAUCAAUACCCUGGGCCUUAGGGAAAUUUAUAUGAGUGGGGGUAAGUAUACUUGGUCCAACAACCAAUCCCACCCCACACUCGAGAGACUGGAUAGGGUGCUCAUGUCUGACUCUUGGGAGAAAAUGUUCCCCUUGGUCUCCAUGAGAAAACUGGCUAGAGAAUUACCUGACCACAAUCCUCUCUUGAUAUACACUGAAGGGGAGAAAAGAACACCCACCAAAGCUCGGGAGUUCCGUUUUGAUCUCUCGUGGCUCAAAGAUGAUAGGUUUUUCAACCUAGUGGCUAAUAUCUGGAACAGAAAGGUUGCUGCCUCGGACCCCAUUGAUAUUCUGAAUCUCAAGCUUAAAAGAUUUAAGUCUUAUUUCAAGGGGUGGGGCUCGGAUAAGUUUGGUCAUGCCAAAAAACGUAAAGAGGAACUACGCCUCGAGCUCGAAUUACUAGAAGAGGCAGAGGAGGAGGGCCCCCUGCUGCCGGAGUUAUAUUGUAGAAAACUCGAUGUGUGCUUUGAGCUUCAGGAGAUGCUAGUUGCUGAAGAGAUCUAUUGGCUGCAGCAAUCGCAUGAACGAUGGCUGCUCAGGGGAGACCGCAAUACGGACUACUUUCAUAAAAUAGCUAAUGGCCGCAAACGAAAAAAAUACUAUCCAUGCUCUCAAAUAUGGAGAGGCCACUAG